Molecule: non-coding RNA, 25 nt
Filed under: Mus musculus (house mouse)
Lineage: Eukaryota; Metazoa; Chordata; Mammalia; Rodentia; Muridae
Source: RNAcentral
UGUGAGAUCAUGACUGAAGUGGAGA